UUAAGCGACUAAGCGUACACGGUGGAUGCCCUGGCAGUCAGAGGCGAUGAAGGACGUGCUAAUCUGCGAAAAGCGUCGGUAAGGUGAUAUGAACCGUUACAGCCGGCGAUGUCCGAAUGGGGAAACCCAGUGCAAUUCGUUGCACUAUCGUUAACUGAAUACAUAGGUUAACGAGGCGAACCGGGGGAACUGAAACAUCUAAGUACCCCGAGGAAAAGAAAUCAACCGAGAUUCCCCCAGUAGCGGCGAGCGAACGGGGAGCAGCCCAGAGUCUGAAUCAGCUUGUGUGUUAGUGGAACGGUCUGGAAAGUCCGACGGUACAGGGUGAUAGUCCCGUACACCAAAAUGCACAGGUUGUGAACUCGAAGAGUAGGGCGGGACACGUGGUAUCCUGUCUGAAUAUGGGGGGACCAUCCUCCAAGGCUAAAUACUCCUGACUGACCGAUAGUGAACCAGUACCGUGAGGGAAAGGCGAAAAGAACCCCGGCGAGGGGAGUGAAAAAGAACCUGAAACCGUGUACGUACAAGCAGUGGGAGCACCUUCGGGUGUGACUGCGUACCUUUUGUAUAAUGGGUCAGCGACUUAUAUUCUGUAGCAAGGUUAACCGUAUAGGGGAGCCGCAGGGAAACCGAGUCUUAACUGGGCGUUAAGUUGCAGGGUAUAGACCCGAAACCCGGUGAUCUAGCCAUGGGCAGGUUGAAGGUUGGGUAACACUAACUGGAGGACCGAACCGACUAAUGUUGAAAAAUUAGCGGAUGACUUGUGGCUGGGGGUGAAAGGCCAAUCAAACCGGGAGAUAGCUGGUUCUCCCCGAAAGCUAUUUAGGUAGCGCCUCGUGAACUCAUCUUCGGGGGUAGAGCACUGUUUCGGCUAGGGGGUCAUCCCGACUUACCAACCCGAUGCAAACUACGAAUACCGAAGAAUGUUAUCACGGGAGACACACGGCGGGUGCUAACGUCCGUCGUGAAGAGGGAAACAACCCAGACCGCCAGCUAAGGUCCCAAAGUCAUGGUUAAGUGGGAAACGAUGUGGGAAGGCACAGACAGCCAGGAUGUUGGCUUAGAAGCAGCCAUCAUUUAAAGAAAGCGUAAUAGCUCACUGGUCGAGUCGGCCUGCGCGGAAGAUGUAACGGGGCUAAACCAUGCACCGAAGCUGCGGCAGCGACACUAUGUGUUGUUGGGUAGGGGAGCGUUCUGUAAGCCUGCGAAGGUGUGCUGUGAGGCAUGCUGGAGGUAUCAGAAGUGCGAAUGCUGACAUAAGUAACGAUAAAGCGGGUGAAAAGCCCGCUCGCCGGAAGACCAAGGGUUCCUGUCCAACGUUAAUCGGGGCAGGGUGAGUCGACCCCUAAGGCGAGGCCGAAAGGCGUAGUCGAUGGGAAACAGGUUAAUAUUCCUGUACUUGGUGUUACUGCGAAGGGGGGACGGAGAAGGCUAUGUUAGCCGGGCGACGGUUGUCCCGGUUUAAGCAUGUAGGCUGGUUGUCUAGGCAAAUCCGGAUAAUCAAGGCUGAGGUGUGAUGACGAGGCACUACGGUGCUGAAGUAACAAAUGCCCUGCUUCCAGGAAAAGCCUCUAAGCAUCAGGUAACAUCAAAUCGUACCCCAAACCGACACAGGUGGUCAGGUAGAGAAUACCAAGGCGCUUGAGAGAACUCGGGUGAAGGAACUAGGCAAAAUGGUGCCGUAACUUCGGGAGAAGGCACGCUGGUGUGUAGGUGAAGCCCCUGCGGGUGGAGCUGAGACCAGUCGAAGAUACCAGCUGGCUGCAACUGUUUAUUAAAAACACAGCACUGUGCAAACACGAAAGUGGACGUAUACGGUGUGACGCCUGCCCGGUGCCGGAAGGUUAAUUGAUGGGGUUAUCCGUAAGGAGAAGCUCUUGAUCGAAGCCCCGGUAAACGGCGGCCGUAACUAUAACGGUCCUAAGGUAGCGAAAUUCCUUGUCGGGUAAGUUCCGACCUGCACGAAUGGCGUAAUGAUGGCCAGGCUGUCUCCACCCGAGACUCAGUGAAAUUGAACUCGCUGUGAAGAUGCAGUGUACCCGCGGCAAGACGGAAAGACCCCGUGAACCUUUACUAUAGCUUGACACUGAACAUUGAGCCUUGAUGUGUAGGAUAGGUGGGAGGCUUUGAAGCGUGGACGCCAGUCUGCGUGGAGCCAACCUUGAAAUACCACCCUUUAAUGUUUGAUGUUCUAACGUUGGCCCCUGACCGGGGUUGCGGACAGUGUCUGGUGGGUAGUUUGACUGGGGCGGUCUCCUCCCAAAGCGUAACGGAGGAGCACGAAGGUUAGCUAAUCCUGGUCGGACAUCAGGAGGUUAGUGCAAUGGCAUAAGCUAGCUUGACUGCGAGCGUGACGGCGCGAGCAGGUGCGAAAGCAGGUCAUAGUGAUCCGGUGGUUCUGAAUGGAAGGGCCAUCGCUCAACGGAUAAAAGGUACUCCGGGGAUAACAGGCUGAUACCGCCCAAGAGUUCAUAUCGACGGCGGUGUUUGGCACCUCGAUGUCGGCUCAUCACAUCCUGGGGCUGAAGUAGGUCCCAAGGGUAUGGCUGUUCGCCAUUUAAAGUGGUACGCGAGCUGGGUUUAGAACGUCGUGAGACAGUUCGGUCCCUAUCUGCCGUGGGCGCUGGAGAAUUGAGGGGGGCUGCUCCUAGUACGAGAGGACCGGAGUGGACGCAUCACUGGUGUUCGGGUUGUCAUGCCAAUGGCACUGCCCGGUAGCUAAAUGCGGAAGAGAUAAGUGCUGAAAGCAUCUAAGCACGAAACUUGCCCCGAGAUGAGUUCUCCCUGAGACUUUAAGUCUCCUGAAGGAACGUUGAAGACGACGACGUUGAUAGGCCGGGUGUGUAAGCGCAGCGAUGCGUUGAGCUAACCGGUACUAAUGAACCGUGAGGCUUAACCUU
RNAcentral lists this ribosomal RNA (2900 nucleotides) under Klebsiella pneumoniae. RNAcentral describes it as "23S ribosomal RNA". It matches the Rfam family "Bacterial large subunit ribosomal RNA". Lineage: Bacteria; Pseudomonadati; Pseudomonadota; Gammaproteobacteria; Enterobacterales; Enterobacteriaceae. The record is from RNAcentral.